Molecule: ribosomal RNA, 292 nt
Filed under: bacterium AV-Te-23-dark
Lineage: Bacteria
Description: partial 16S ribosomal RNA
Rfam family: Bacterial small subunit ribosomal RNA
Source: RNAcentral
GUGACGUUACCUUCAGAAUAAGCACCGGCUAACUCCGUGCCAGCAGCCGCGGUAAUACGGAGGGUCCGAGCGUUAAUCGGAAUUACUGGGCGUAAAGCGUGCGCAGGCGGUUUUGUAAGCCAGAUGUGAAAUCCCCGGGCUCAACCUGGGAAUUGCAUUUGGAACUGCCGAACUAGAGUCUUGCAGAGGGGGGUAGAAUUCCAGGUGUAGCGGUGAAAUGCGUAGAUAUCUGGAGGAACACCGAUGGCGAAGGCGGUCCCCUGGGCCAAGACUGACGUUCAUGCACGAAGGG